RNAcentral lists this ribosomal RNA (164 nucleotides) under Iris minutoaurea. Its description in RNAcentral is "5.8S ribosomal RNA". It matches the Rfam family "5.8S ribosomal RNA". Rfam says of the family: 5.8S ribosomal RNA (5.8S rRNA) is a component of the large subunit of the eukaryotic ribosome. It is transcribed by RNA polymerase I as part of the 45S precursor that also contains 18S and 28S rRNA. Lineage: Eukaryota; Viridiplantae; Streptophyta; Magnoliopsida; Asparagales; Iridaceae. The record is from RNAcentral.
UGUACGACUUUCGGCAACGGAUAUCUAGGCUCUCGCAUCGAUGAAGAACGUAGCGAAAUGCGAUACUUGGUGUGAAUUGCAGAAUCCCGUGAACCAUCGAGUCUUUGAACGCAAGUUGCGCCCGAGGCCUUCUAGCCGAGGGCACGCCUGCCUGGGCGUCACGC